Molecule: long non-coding RNA, 3043 nt
Filed under: Setaria viridis
Lineage: Eukaryota; Viridiplantae; Streptophyta; Magnoliopsida; Poales; Poaceae
Description: long non-coding RNA (SVIR_LNC001789)
Source: RNAcentral
CUAAUUAGACCCUAGAACAUGUUUGGGAGUGUUUUUGAGCAUUCGGUUCCGGCACGAAAAACGAUGCAAAACGGGUGCAUUUCGGCACCCGAAUGCACUAUUGCCGGGUAGCGAAACUCGGGUGGAUUUUUUCGCAACGAACGCAUGCAAUCUACCUAAUUAGACCCUAGAACAUGUUUGGGAGUGUUUUUGGGCAUUCGGUUCCGGCACGAAAAAUGAUGCAAAACGGGUGCAUUUCGGCACCCGAAUGCACUAUUGCCGGGUAGCGAAACUCGGGUGGAUUUUUUCACAACGAACGCAUGCAAUCUUCCUAAAUAUACCCUAGAACAUGUUUGGGAGUGUUUUUGGGCAUUCGGUUCCGGCACGAAAAAUGAUGCAAAACGGGUGCAUUUCGGCACCCGAAUGCACUAUUGCCGGGUAGCGAAACUCGGGUGGAUUUUUUCGCAACGAACGCAUGCAAUCUUCCUAAAUAUACACUAGAACAUGUUUGGGAGUAUUUUUGGGCAUUCGGUUCCGGCACGAAAAAUGAUGCAAAACGGGUGCAUUUCGGCACUCGAAUGCACUAUUGCCGGGUAGCGAAACUCGGGUGGAUUUUUUUCGCAACGAACGCAUCCAAUCUACCUAAUUAGACCCUAGAACAUGUUUGGGAGUGUUUUUGGGCAUUCGGUUUCGGCACGAAAAACGAUGCAAAACGGGUGCAUUUCGGCACCCGAAUGCACUAUUGCCGGGUAGCGAAACUCGGGUGGAUUUUUUCGCAACGAACGCAUGCAAUUUUCCGAAAUAUACACUAGAACAUGUUUGGGAGUGUUUUUGGGCAUUCGGUUCCGGCACGAAAAAUGAUGCAAAACGGGUGCAUUUCAGCACCCGAAUGCACUAUUGCCGGGUAGCGAAACUCGGGUGGAUUUUUUCGCAACGAACGCAUGCAAUCUUCCUAACUAUACACUAGAACAUGUUUGGGAGUGUUUUUGAGCAUUCGGUUCCGGCACGAAAAACGAUGCAAAACGGGUGCAUUUCGGCACCCGAAUGCACUAUUUCCGGGUAGCGAAACUCGGGUGGAUUUUUUCGCAACGAACGCAUGCAAUCUUCCUAACUAUACACUAGAACAUGUUUGGGACUGUUUUUGAGCAUUCGGUUCCGGCACGAAAAACGAUGCAAAACGGGUGCAUUUCGGCACCCGAAAGCACUAUUUCCGGGUAGCGAAACUCGGGUGGAUUUUUUCGCAACGAACGCAUGCAAUCUUCCUAACUAUACACUAAAACAUGUUUGGGACUGUUUUUGAGCAUUCGGUUCCGGCACGAAAAACGAUGCAAAACGGGUGCAUUUCGGCACGCGAAUGCACUAUUUCCGGGUAGCGAAACUCGGGUGGAUUUUUUCGCAACGAACGCAUGCAAUCUUCCUAACUAUACACUAGAACAUGUUUGGGAGUGUUUUUGAGCAUUCGGUUCCGGCACGAAAAACGAUGCAAAACGGGUGCAUUUCGGCACCCGAAUGCACUAUUUCCGGGUAGCGAAACUCGGGUGGAUUUUUUCGCAACGAACGCAUGCAAUCUUCCUAACUAUACACUAGAACAUGUUUGGGACUGUUUUUGAGCAUUCGGUUCCGGCACGAAAAACGAUGCAAAACGGGUGCAUUUCGGCACAAGAAAGCACUAUUUCCGGGUAGCGAAACUCGGGUGGAUUUUUUCGCAACGAACGCAUGCAUUCUUCCUAAAUAUACACUAGAACAUGUUUGGGAGUGUUUUUGGGCAUUCUGUUCCGGCACGAAAAAUGAUGCAAAACGGGUGCAUUUCGGCACCCGAAUGCACUAUUGCCGGGUAGCGAAACUCGGGUGGAUUUUUUCACAACGAAUGCAUGCAAUCUUUACUAAAUAUACCCUAGAACAUGUUUGGGAGUGUUUUUGGGCAUUCGGUUCCGGCACGAAAAAUGAUGCAAAACGGGUGCAUUUCGGCACCCGAAUACACUAUUGCCGGGUAGCGAAACUCGGGUGGAUUUUUUCGCAACGAACGCAUGCAAUCUUUCGAAAUAUACACUAGAACAUGUUUGGGAGUAUUUUUGGGCAUUCGGUUCCGGCACGAAAAAUGAUGCAAAACGGGUGCAUUUCGGCACCCGAAUGCACUAUUGCCGGGUAGCGAAACUCGGGUGGAUUUUUUUCGCAACGAACGCAUCCAAUCUACCUAAUUAGACCCUAGAACAUGUUUGGGAGUGUUUUUGGGCAUUCGGUUCCGGCACGAAAAACGAUGCAAAACGGGUGCAUUUCGGCACCCGAAUGCACUAUUGCCGGGUAGCGAAACUCGGGUGGAUUUUUUCGCAACGAACGCAUGCAAUUUUCCGAAAUAUACACUAGAACAUGUUUGGGAGUGUUUUUGGGCAUUCGGUUCCGGCACGAAAAAUGAUGCAAAACGGGUGCAUUUCAGCACCCGAAUGCACUAUUGCCGGGUAGCGAAACUCGGGUGGAUUUUUUCGCAACGAACGCAUGCAAUCUUCCUAACUAUACACUAGAACAUGUUUGGGAGUGUUUUUGAGCAUUCGGUUCCGGCACGAAAAACGAUGCAAAACGGGUGCAUUUCGGCACCCGAAUGCACUAUUUCCGGGUAGCGAAACUCGGGUGGAUUUUUUCGCAACGAACGCAUGCAAUCUUCCUAACUAUACACUAGAACAUGUUUGGGACUGUUUUUGAGCAUUCGGUUCCGGCACGAAAAACGAUGCAAAACGGGUGCAUUUCGGCACCCGAAAGCACUAUUUCCGGGUAGCGAAACUCGGGUGGAUUUUUUCGCAACGAACGCAUGCAAUCUUCCUAACUAUACACUAAAACAUGUUUGGGACUGUUUUUGAGCAUUCGGUUCCGGCACGAAAAACGAUGCAAAACGGGUGCAUUUCGGCACGCGAAUGCACUAUUUCCGGGUAGCGAAACUCGGGUGGAUUUUUUCGCAACGAACGCAUGCAAUCUUCCUAACUAUACACUAGAACAUGUUUGGGAGUGUUUUUGAGCAUUCGGUUCCGGCACGAAAAACGAUGCAAAACGGGUGCAUUUCGGCACCCGAAUG